RNAcentral lists this ribosomal RNA (450 nucleotides) under uncultured bacterium. Its description in RNAcentral is "partial 16S ribosomal RNA". It matches the Rfam family "Bacterial small subunit ribosomal RNA", at positions 354 to 796 of the family's 1533-position model. The record is from RNAcentral.
GUGGGGAAUUUUGGACAAUGGGCGCAAGCCUGAUCCAGCAAUGCCGCGUGCAGGAAGAAGGCCUUCGGGUUGUAAACUGCUUUUGUACGGAACGAAAAGGCUCUGGUUAAUACCUGGGGCUCAUGACGGUACCGUAAGAAUAAGCACCGGCUAACUACGUGCCAGCAGCCGCGGUAAUACGUAGGGUGCAAGCGUUAAUCGGAAUUACUGGGCGUAAAGCGUGCGCAGGCGGUUUUGUGAGACAGACGUGAAAUCCCCGGGCUCAACCUGGGAAUGGCGUUUGUGACUGCAAAGCUGGAGUGCGGCAGAGGGGGAUGGAAUUCCGCGUGUAGCAGUGAAAUGCGUAGAGAUGUGGAGGAACACCGAUGGCGAAGGCAGCCCCCUGGGAUGACACUGACGCUCAUGUACGAAAGCGUGGGUAGCAAACAGGAUUAGAAACCCCUGUAGUCC